RNAcentral lists this ribosomal RNA (465 nucleotides) under uncultured Klebsiella sp. Its description in RNAcentral is "bacterial SSU rRNA". It matches the Rfam family "Bacterial small subunit ribosomal RNA", at positions 338 to 795 of the family's 1533-position model. Lineage: Bacteria; Pseudomonadati; Pseudomonadota; Gammaproteobacteria; Enterobacterales; Enterobacteriaceae. The record is from RNAcentral.
CCUACGGGUGGCUGCAGUAGGGAAUAUUGCACAAUGGGCGCAAGCCUGAUGCAGCCAUGCCGCGUGUGUGAAGAAGGCCUUCGGGUUGUAAAGCACUUUCAGCGGGGAGGAAGGCGGUGAGGUUAAUAACCUCAUCGAUUGACGUUACCCGCAGAAGAAGCACCGGCUAACUCCGUGCCAGCAGCCGCGGUAAUACGGAGGGUGCAAGCGUUAAUCGGAAUUACUGGGCGUAAAGCGCACGCAGGCGGUCUGUCAAGUCGGAUGUGAAAUCCCCAGGCUCAACCUGGGAACUGCAUUCGAAACUGGCAGGCUAGAGUCUUGUAGAGGGGGGUAGAAUUCCAGGUGUAGCGGUGAAAUGCGUAGAGAUCUGGAGGAAUACCGGUGGCGAAGGCGGCCCCCUGGACAAAGACUGACGCUCAGGUGCGAAAGCGUGGGGAGCAAACAGGAUUAGAUACCCCGGUAGUC